GAUGAACGCUGGCGGCGUGCCUAAUACAUGCAAGUCGAGCGAACAGAUGAGGAGCUUGCUCCUCUGACGUUAGCGGCGGACGGGUGAGUAACACGUGGAUAACCUACCUAUAAGACUGGGAUAACUUCGGGAAACCGGAGCUAAUACCGGAUAAUAUAUUGAACCGCAUGGUUCAAUAGUGAAAGACGGUUUUGCUGUCACUUAUCGAUGGAUCCGCGCCGCAUUAGCUAGUUGGUAAGGUAACGGCUUACCAAGGCAACGAUGCGUAGCCGACCUGAGAGGGUGAUCGGCGACACUGGAACUGAGACACGGUCCAGACUCCUACGGGAGGCAGCAGUAGGGAAUCUUCCGCAAUGGGCGAAAGCCUGACGGAGCAACGCCGCGUGAGUGAUGAAGGUCUUCGGAUCGUAAAACUCUGUUAUUAGGGAAGAACAAAUGUGUAAGUAACUAUGCACGUCUUGACGGUACCUAAUCAGAAAGCAACGGCUAACUACGUG
Molecule: ribosomal RNA, 497 nt
Filed under: uncultured bacterium
Lineage: Bacteria
Description: partial 16S ribosomal RNA
Rfam family: Bacterial small subunit ribosomal RNA
Source: RNAcentral